AGACUGGCCUGGGGGAAGGCAUGGCACUGCUGAACACAGGGAGAUACAGGUCAGUUCUUGACUUGGAGUUCAAAGCUCCAGUGUGCUGGUUGCAUAUUAGUUCUACCCACUUCAGUCCCAGAAGAAGAGACGAGUGUGCUUUGCUACCCUUAUGAUGGAAAACACAAACUUGGCAUGAAAAUCGCAUAAUGGUCAGAUACCCAGAACUCUGAUGGGCUUCAGUCAUAACUUGGACAAAGAUCUGCAGUGGGCUGCCAGCUCACUGUCACCCUCUGAUCCUUCAGCCUCAGCGGCUUUGCUGUGUUCAUGUGCACAUGCUCUAUCCAGCUCUGCUCACGUCCAUAUGCAGUGAGCGUGUGUCUGUCAUAUGGAUGUGUGUGCCUUUCAGAUCAUGUUUUAAAACCUUCCACGUCUGGCGUUGGGAACGCAGCCGCGGCUUGGUAGUGGAUAGCAAGAGGCAAAGGUGAGGCCCAAAGAGAGGAUGCCACCUGUUCAUGGCCAAGGACAGAAAUGGCAGAGUUGAGACUGGAACUCAAUUUCAGAGCCAAGAUUCUUCCACUCCUCCAUGCAAUGCCAUCUGCAAGUGAACCCAAAGAAGCGAUGAAUAAUCAGUCAUCAGGAGAGGGGAUUAAAAAAUAGAUUUAUUGCUAUUUCUAAAAGUCAGAACCAGAGAUGAGUAAACACAACAACAGAUGUAUAAGAACAUGCUGAAUCUCUGCUUCCAGUAUUACUGAGCCGGCUCGAUCUUUUUCCCUUCUGCAGUGGCUUUGAGCAACCUCCAUACUGAUGCAAUAUUAACGACCGCAUAAUUAGCCACCUUAAUAAAUUUUUCCAAGAUGGAUA
Long non-coding RNA from Chinchilla lanigera (long-tailed chinchilla), 843 nucleotides. RefSeq lists it as uncharacterized. Lineage: Eukaryota; Metazoa; Chordata; Mammalia; Rodentia; Chinchillidae. The transcript has 7 exons. The record is from RefSeq and is a predicted model, not a curated record.